This 21-nucleotide non-coding RNA is filed under the name Caenorhabditis elegans. Lineage: Eukaryota; Metazoa; Nematoda; Chromadorea; Rhabditida; Rhabditidae. The record is from RNAcentral.
UUGAUCGUUGCGAGUUGGCUC